CCUAAAUCCUAAACAAACAAAUGAGAUAAUAAUUUGAUAUGUUUAAUAGCAACUCGAUAGGUUUUAAAUUCAAUGACAAUUGAAAAAACAUUAUAAAGUUGCAAUAGAGACACCUAACCUCAGUAUUGUUCUAUUGGCGAUUCCUUUUCAUUUUUGGGUAAAUUUCAGUUGGGGUCCCCAACCUUCCGAUGGUGGCACCUAGGUCCCCAACUUAUACAAUAGUGUGUGCAUCACUCCCAACUGAUCGAAAAAUGCUUUUUAAGUUGUUAAGUCAACAAGCGACAUAUCCCCUAAGGGUAAAAAUGUUAAACAAUUUUUUUUUUUUUUUUUUUUUGUAAAUACCUUCCCUAAGUAACCUUUUGUAAAACUACUUUAUUACUUAUAAGGCUAUAAACGUUCAUAGCACAAUACUCUAUUUUCAAAUCCCAAAAGCCACACGAGUCAUCAUAUACCAAUUACUUUGGAUAGUUUCUAUUUUAAGAGACAUUACAUGUAUGUGUGGCAUGUUGAUUUAAGGCCAAAAUGAUGUUUUCCUAUCGACGGUAGAUGACGCCUGUCACAAGAGGAAGGUCAGGAAUUUAUCUUCACAGUUAGCAAAUGUUGGGGACCGCAGCUGGAAUUUUGCCUAUUUUCUUCUUCUUGGUUUUAUUUUUAUGAAACAAGGCAAUGCUUUUGGUCGUGCUGAAAAAAUGAUUUUUUCAAUUAUUUUUCAAUAAAUAAAUAAAUAAAUAAUGCCAAUAUUGUACUGUGUACCAUGAAGAAUAUUCAAAAUAUGGUAUGUCAU
RNAcentral lists this long non-coding RNA (784 nucleotides) under Olea europaea subsp. europaea. Lineage: Eukaryota; Viridiplantae; Streptophyta; Magnoliopsida; Lamiales; Oleaceae. The record is from RNAcentral.